GGCUGUGUGGCUCAAUGGCAGAGUGUUGGUUUUCGGCACCAAAGGUUGUGGGUUCGAGUCCCAUCGCGGUCG
This 72-nucleotide transfer RNA is filed under the name Talaromyces pinophilus. Its description in RNAcentral is "tRNA-Arg (TCG) (tRNA-Arg-TCG-2-1)". It matches the Rfam family "tRNA". From Rfam's summary of the family: Transfer RNA (tRNA) molecules are approximately 80 nucleotides in length. Their secondary structure includes four short double-helical elements and three loops (D, anti-codon, and T loops). Further hydrogen bonds mediate the characteristic L-shaped molecular structure. tRNAs have two regions of fundamental functional importance: the anti-codon, which is responsible for specific mRNA codon recognition, and the 3' end, to which the tRNAs corresponding amino acid is attached (by aminoacyl-tRNA synthetases). tRNAs cope with the degeneracy of the genetic code in two manners: having more than one tRNA (with a specific anti-codon) for a particular amino acid; and 'wobble' base-pairing, i.e. permitting non-standard base-pairing at the 3rd anti-codon position. The record is from RNAcentral. Lineage: Eukaryota; Fungi; Ascomycota; Eurotiomycetes; Eurotiales; Trichocomaceae.